This 440-nucleotide ribosomal RNA is filed under the name uncultured bacterium. RNAcentral describes it as "partial 16S ribosomal RNA". It matches the Rfam family "Bacterial small subunit ribosomal RNA", at positions 338 to 795 of the family's 1533-position model. The record is from RNAcentral.
CCUACGGGCGGCAGCAGUAGGGAAUAUUGCACAAUGGGGGAAACCCUGAAGCAGCAACACCGCGUGGAGGAUGAAGGUUUUCGGAUGGUAAAGUCCUUUUGUUAGAGAAGAAAAUGACGGUAUCUAACGGAUAAGCACCGGCCAACUCCGUGCCAGCAGCUGCGGUAAUACGGAGGGCGCAAGCGUUAGGCGGAAUGACUGGGCGUAAAGAUCGCGGAGGCGGGAUAGCAAGUCAGAUGUGAAAUCCUAUGGCUUAACCAUAGAACUGCAUUUGAAACUGUUAUUCUUGAGUAUAGGAGAGGUAGGUGGAAUUCUUUGUGUAGGGGUAACAUCCGUAGAGAUCAAGAGGAAUACUCAUUGCGAAGGCGACCGGCUAGACCAUAACUGACGCUGAUGCGCGAAAGCGUGGGUAGCAAACAGGAUUAGAUACCCCAGUAGUC